Molecule: ribosomal RNA, 905 nt
Filed under: Oceanobacillus sp. 157B7_12EMannit
Lineage: Bacteria; Bacillati; Bacillota; Bacilli; Caryophanales; Bacillaceae
Description: bacterial SSU rRNA
Rfam family: Bacterial small subunit ribosomal RNA
Source: RNAcentral
ACAUGCAAGUCGAGCGCGGGAAGCGGACAGAACUCUUCGGAGGGACGUUCGUGGAACGAGCGGCGGACGGGUGAGUAACACGUAGGCAACCUGCCUGUAAGACUGGGAUAACUCGCGGAAACGCGAGCUAAUACCGGAUAAUACUUAUGAUCUCCUGAUGAUAAGUUGAAAGGCGGCUUUUGCUGUCACUUACAGAUGGGCCUGCGGCGCAUUAGCUAGUUGGUGAGAUAACGGCUCACCAAGGCAACGAUGCGUAGCCGACCUGAGAGGGUGAUCGGCCACACUGGGACUGAGACACGGCCCAGACUCCUACGGGAGGCAGCAGUAGGGAAUCUUCCGCAAUGGACGAAAGUCUGACGGAGCAACGCCGCGUGAGUGAUGAAGGUUUUCGGAUCGUAAAACUCUGUUGUCAGGGAAGAACAAGUAUGAUAGUAACUGAUCGUACCUUGACGGUACCUGACCAGAAAGCCACGGCUAACUACGUGCCAGCAGCCGCGGUAAUACGUAGGUGGCAAGCGUUGUCCGGAAUUAUUGGGCGUAAAGCGCUCGCAGGCGGUUCUUUAAGUCUGAUGUGAAAUCUUGCAGCUCAACUGUAAACGUGCAUUGGAAACUGGAGGACUUGAGUGCAGAAGAGGAGAGUGGAAUUCCACGUGUAGCGGUGAAAUGCGUAGAGAUGUGGAGGAACACCAGUGGCGAAGGCGACUCUCUGGUCUGUAACUGACGCUGAGGAGCGAAAGCGUGGGGAGCGAACAGGAUUAGAUACCCUGGUAGUCCACGCCGUAAACGAUGAGUGCUAGGUGUUAGGGGGUUUCCGCCCCUUAGUGCUGAAGUUAACGCAUUAAGCACUCCGCCUGGGGAGUACGGCCGCAAGGCUGAAACUCAAAAGAAUUGACGGGGACCCGCAC